GGACUACCAGGGUUUCUAAUCCUGUUUGCUCCCCACGCUUUCGUGCCCUCAGCGUCAAUGCUGGCCCAGGGGGCUGCCUUCGCCAUCGGUGUUCCUCCACAUCUCUACGCAUUUCACUGCUACACGUGGAAUUCCACCCCCCUCUGCCACAUUCAAGUGCCCUAGUUUCCACUGCCGUUCCCAGGUUAAGCCCGGGGCUUUCACAACGGACUUGUGAGCACCGCCUACGCACCCUUUACGCCCAGUAAUUCCGAUUAACGCUCGCACCCUACGUAUUACCGCGGCUGCUGGCAC
This 294-nucleotide ribosomal RNA is filed under the name uncultured bacterium. Its description in RNAcentral is "partial 16S ribosomal RNA". The record is from RNAcentral.